This 248-nucleotide long non-coding RNA is filed under the name Eucalyptus grandis. RNAcentral's name for it is "long non-coding RNA (EGRA_LNC007348)". Lineage: Eukaryota; Viridiplantae; Streptophyta; Magnoliopsida; Myrtales; Myrtaceae. The record is from RNAcentral.
CCUUGCUCUGGGCGGGGAGCAUAUGCUUGGCCACUGCACUGGGUCUGGCAUGCCACCACAGUGUCGCCAGCUUCUUCUCCCUGGUGACCUUGGUGAUGUUUAUAUUCGCCGCAUGAUUUAAAUACAAAAUGAGCCAUCCCAUUACUUUCUGGCCAAAUGUGUGCUCAUGGCUUUUCUGCUUGCAGGUUUGUUCAGAAAGUUUUUGCAACUGACAGGAGGCCACGGAGAAUAGUUAGACUUGUUCGUAG